GGCACCGUGCUAGAGUGGUCCAAUAGACGGGUCUGCAAAACCUUGGUUCAUCGGUUCGAAUCCGAUCGGUGCCUCCA
RNAcentral lists this transfer RNA (77 nucleotides) under candidate division SR1 bacterium RAAC1_SR1_1. Its description in RNAcentral is "tRNA-Cys (GCA) (tRNA-Cys-GCA-1-1)". It matches the Rfam family "tRNA". Rfam says of the family: Transfer RNA (tRNA) molecules are approximately 80 nucleotides in length. Their secondary structure includes four short double-helical elements and three loops (D, anti-codon, and T loops). Lineage: Bacteria; Candidatus Absconditibacteriota. The record is from RNAcentral. RNAcentral also lists the same sequence under 2 other names.